ACGUAAGGAGCGAGCGUUGUUCGGAAUUAUUGGGCGUAAAGGGCGUGUAGGCGGUUUUGUAAGCCUGGUGUAAAAGGCGUACGCUUAACGUACGUAGGUCGCUGGGGACUGCGAGACUAGAGUGUAGGAAGGGGAGCUGGAAUUCCAGGUGGGGGGGUUACAUCUCUAGAUCUGUGGAAGAGCGCCGAUGGCGGAGGCAAGCUUCUAGCCAGACACUGACGCUGAGGCGCGAAAGCGUGGAGAGGGAGCAG
Molecule: ribosomal RNA, 251 nt
Filed under: uncultured prokaryote
Description: partial 16S rRNA
Rfam family: Bacterial small subunit ribosomal RNA
Source: RNAcentral